CCAGUACUUCCCGUGUAUCUGCUUGCCAUAGCUGCACAAGAUCUAUAGGAGUCUUUCCAGCCUGCGGCAGGAGAAAGAGGUGAGAAUGAGCCUCAUCUGCGGCUGCACAAUUGCUGUUACCCACCAUAAGUUAUUGCCUGGAGUGAGGUUUUUUGCGUAGCUCAAAGAGGUACUGGGUGCCACCAACUUCAAUGAUCUCGCGCCUUAGGUCCACAGAGCUCUUC
Molecule: long non-coding RNA, 224 nt
Organism: Eublepharis macularius
Lineage: Eukaryota; Metazoa; Chordata; Lepidosauria; Squamata; Eublepharidae
Exons: 3
Source: RefSeq, a predicted model, not a curated record